This 474-nucleotide ribosomal RNA is filed under the name uncultured organism. RNAcentral's name for it is "partial 16S ribosomal RNA". It matches the Rfam family "Bacterial small subunit ribosomal RNA", at positions 334 to 799 of the family's 1533-position model. The record is from RNAcentral.
CACUCCUACGGGAGGCAGCAGUGGGGAAUUUUGGACAAUGGGCGAAAGCCUGAUCCAGCACUGCCGCGUGAGUGAAGAAGGCCUUCGGGUUGUAAAGCUCUUUUGUCAGGGAAGAAACGGUGAGAGCUAAUAUCUUUUGCUAAUGACGGUACCUGAAGAAUAAGCACCGGCUAACUACGUGCCAGCAGCCGCGGUAAUACGUAGGGUGCAAGCGUUAAUCGGAAUUACUGGGCGUAAAGCGUGCGCAGGCGGUUUUGUAAGUCUGAUGUGAAAUCCCCGGGCUCAACCUGGGAAUUGCAUUGGGGACUGCAAGGCUAGAAUCUGGCAGAGGGGGGUAGAAUUCCACGUGUAGCAGUGAAAUGCGUAGAUAUGUGGAGGAACACCGAUGGCGAAGGCAGCCCCCUGGGUCAAGAUUGACGCUCAUGCACGAAAGCGUGGGGAGCAAACAGGAUUAGAAACCCUGGUAGUCCCAUG